GAGACGGGGUAAGUAUAUUCGU
This 22-nucleotide small nuclear RNA is filed under the name Arabidopsis thaliana (thale cress). Its description in RNAcentral is "snRNA_12456". Lineage: Eukaryota; Viridiplantae; Streptophyta; Magnoliopsida; Brassicales; Brassicaceae. The record is from RNAcentral.